Molecule: ribosomal RNA, 470 nt
Filed under: uncultured organism
Description: partial 16S ribosomal RNA
Rfam family: Bacterial small subunit ribosomal RNA
Source: RNAcentral
ACUCCUGCGGGAGGCAGCAGUGGGGAAUAUUGCACAAUGGGCGCAAGCCUGAUGCAGCCAUGCCGCGUGUAUGAAGAAGGCCUUCGGGUUGUAAAGUACUUUCAGCGGGGAGGAAGGCGAUAAGGUUAAUAACCUUGUCGAUUGACGUUACCCGCAGAAGAAGCACCGGCUAACUCCGUGCCAGCAGCCGCGGUAAUACGGAGGGUGCAAGCGUUAAUCGGAAUUACUGGGCGUAAAGCGCACGCAGGCGGUCUGUCAAGUCGGAUGUGAAAUCCCCGGGCUCAACCUGGGAACUGCAUUCGAAACUGGCAGGCUAGAGUCUUGUAGAGGGGGGUAGAAUUCCAGGUGUAGCGGUGAAAUGCGUAGAGAUCUGGAGGAAUACCGGUGGCGAAGGCGGCCCCCUGGACAAAGACUGACGCUCAGGUGCGAAAGCGUGGGGAGCAAACAGGAUUAGAUACCCCUGUAGUCCC